Molecule: ribosomal RNA, 1522 nt
Filed under: Salmonella enterica subsp. enterica serovar Derby
Lineage: Bacteria; Pseudomonadati; Pseudomonadota; Gammaproteobacteria; Enterobacterales; Enterobacteriaceae
Also listed under: 5 other names
Description: bacterial SSU rRNA
Rfam family: Bacterial small subunit ribosomal RNA
Source: RNAcentral
AGAGUUUGAUCAUGGCUCAGAUUGAACGCUGGCGGCAGGCCUAACACAUGCAAGUCGAACGGUAACAGGAAGCAGCUUGCUGCUUUGCUGACGAGUGGCGGACGGGUGAGUAAUGUCUGGGAAACUGCCUGAUGGAGGGGGAUAACUACUGGAAACGGUGGCUAAUACCGCAUAACGUCGCAAGACCAAAGAGGGGGACCUUCGGGCCUCUUGCCAUCAGAUGUGCCCAGAUGGGAUUAGCUUGUUGGUGAGGUAACGGCUCACCAAGGCGACGAUCCCUAGCUGGUCUGAGAGGAUGACCAGCCACACUGGAACUGAGACACGGUCCAGACUCCUACGGGAGGCAGCAGUGGGGAAUAUUGCACAAUGGGCGCAAGCCUGAUGCAGCCAUGCCGCGUGUAUGAAGAAGGCCUUCGGGUUGUAAAGUACUUUCAGCGGGGAGGAAGGUGUUGUGGUUAAUAACCACAGCAAUUGACGUUACCCGCAGAAGAAGCACCGGCUAACUCCGUGCCAGCAGCCGCGGUAAUACGGAGGGUGCAAGCGUUAAUCGGAAUUACUGGGCGUAAAGCGCACGCAGGCGGUCUGUCAAGUCGGAUGUGAAAUCCCCGGGCUCAACCUGGGAACUGCAUUCGAAACUGGCAGGCUUGAGUCUUGUAGAGGGGGGUAGAAUUCCAGGUGUAGCGGUGAAAUGCGUAGAGAUCUGGAGGAAUACCGGUGGCGAAGGCGGCCCCCUGGACAAAGACUGACGCUCAGGUGCGAAAGCGUGGGGAGCAAACAGGAUUAGAUACCCUGGUAGUCCACGCCGUAAACGAUGUCUACUUGGAGGUUGUGCCCUUGAGGCGUGGCUUCCGGAGCUAACGCGUUAAGUAGACCGCCUGGGGAGUACGGCCGCAAGGUUAAAACUCAAAUGAAUUGACGGGGGCCCGCACAAGCGGUGGAGCAUGUGGUUUAAUUCGAUGCAACGCGAAGAACCUUACCUGGUCUUGACAUCCACGGAAGUUUUCAGAGAUGAGAAUGUGCCUUCGGGAACCGUGAGACAGGUGCUGCAUGGCUGUCGUCAGCUCGUGUUGUGAAAUGUUGGGUUAAGUCCCGCAACGAGCGCAACCCUUAUCCUUUGUUGCCAGCGAUUAGGUCGGGAACUCAAAGGAGACUGCCAGUGAUAAACUGGAGGAAGGUGGGGAUGACGUCAAGUCAUCAUGGCCCUUACGACCAGGGCUACACACGUGCUACAAUGGCGCAUACAAAGAGAAGCGACCUCGCGAGAGCAAGCGGACCUCAUAAAGUGCGUCGUAGUCCGGAUUGGAGUCUGCAACUCGACUCCAUGAAGUCGGAAUCGCUAGUAAUCGUGGAUCAGAAUGCCACGGUGAAUACGUUCCCGGGCCUUGUACACACCGCCCGUCACACCAUGGGAGUGGGUUGCAAAAGAAGUAGGUAGCUUAACCUUCGGGAGGGCGCUUACCACUUUGUGAUUCAUGACUGGGGUGAAGUCGUAACAAGGUAACCGUAGGGGAACCUGCGGUUG